This 599-nucleotide ribosomal RNA is filed under the name Zavrelimyia (Paramerina) sp. 2 SRM-2010. RNAcentral's name for it is "eukaryotic LSU rRNA". It matches the Rfam family "Eukaryotic large subunit ribosomal RNA", at positions 443 to 900 of the family's 3401-position model. The record is from RNAcentral. Lineage: Eukaryota; Metazoa; Arthropoda; Insecta; Diptera; Chironomidae.
CGGUGAAAUUCAAUACUGUUUUUCCAAAAAUGGUGUGCACUUUUCACUUAGUAAGACGUUGUGAUCCAUUAGGAAUCGAAUGUCUAUCUAAAAUUGGACAUUCAAUAGGCUACCAAUAGACGGGUAUGAAGUUCACAUUGAAACACAACACAAUCUUUUGGUCGUGUAUAGUCUCUUGUGAGCAUACCAUGCACUGAUGUAGCUGCCUGAUGGUUUUUAAAGAUUGCAUUAUUGAUGCUUGCAUCACCCACUUUKYUGGGCACAAUGUAUAUCCGAUCAACAACGGUUUCAUUUGGGAUACCUUUGGGACCCGUCUUGAAACACGGACCAAGGAGUCUAUCUAGUAUGCGAGUAAAUGGGAUCUCAAAAACCUAUUUGCAUAAAUAACUUGACUGUAAUUUAAUGGGAUUACGUGUAUUACAUUUAUGUGUGUGCACCUCCAUCCCGGAGUAUUUUCAUCACAUAUGCUAGCAAUAGUAUAUAGAAAAUAUAUCAUGAGCAUACUGGACAUGACCCGAAAGAUGGUGAACUAUGCCUGAUCAGGUUGAAGUCAGGGGAAACCCUGAUGGAGGACCGAAGCAAUUCUGACGUGCAAAUCG